RNAcentral lists this ribosomal RNA (468 nucleotides) under uncultured bacterium. RNAcentral describes it as "partial 16S ribosomal RNA". It matches the Rfam family "Bacterial small subunit ribosomal RNA", at positions 28 to 507 of the family's 1533-position model. The record is from RNAcentral.
GACGAACGCUGGCGGCGUGCUUAACACAUGCAAGUCGAACGGAAAGGCCCUGCUUUUGUGGGGUGCUCGAGUGGCGAACGGGUGAGUAACACGUGAGUAACCUGCCCUUGACUUUGGGAUAACUUCAGGAAACUGGGGCUAAUACCGGAUAGGAGCUCCUGCUGCAUGGUGGGGGUUGGAAAGCUUCGGCGGUUGGGGAUGGACUCGCGGCUUAUCAGCUUGUUGGUGGGGUAGUGGCUUACCAAGGCUUUGACGGGUAGCCGGCCUGAGCGGUUGACCGGCCACAUUGGGACUGAGAUACGGCCCAGACUCCUACGGGAGGCAGCAGUGGGGAAUAUUGCACAAUGGGCGGAAGCCUGAUGCAGCAACGCCGCGUUCGGGAUGACGGCCUUCGGGUUGUAAACCGCUUUCGCCUGUGACGAAGCGUGAGUGACGGUAAUGGGUAAAGAAGCACCGGCUAACUACGUG